UGGGGAGAAGACAUUGUGUCUUCGAGUCGUUGAUUUCACACUGCCGAGAAAAGCCUCUAGAUAGAAAAUAGGUGCCCGUACCGCAAACCGACACAGGUAGUCAAGAUGAGAAUUCUAAGGUGAGCGAGCGAACUCUCGUUAAGGAACUCGGCAAAAUGACCCCGUAACUUCGGGAGAAGGGGUGCUCUUUAGGGUUAACGCCCAGAAGAGCCGCAGUGAAUAGGCCCAAGCGACUGUUUAUCAAAAACACAGGUCUCUGCUAAACCGUAAGGUGAUGUAUAGGGGCUGACGCCUGCCCGGUGCUGGAAGGUUAAGAGGAGUGGUUAGCUUCUGCGAAGCUACGAAUCGAAGCCCCAGUAAACGGCGGCCGUAACUAUAACGGUCCUAAGGUAGCGAAAUUCCUUGUCGGGUAAGUUCCGACCCGCACGAAAGGCGUAACGAUUUGGGCACUGUCUCAACGAGAGACUCGGUGAAAUCAUAGUACCUGUGAAGAUGCAGGUUACCCGCGACAGGACGGAAAGACCCCGUGGAGCUUUACUGUAGCCUGAUAUUGAAAUUCGGCACAGCUUGUACAGGAUAGGUAGGAGCCUUUGAAACGUGAGCGCUAGCUUACGUGGAGGCGCUGGUGGGAUACUACCCUAGCUGUGUUGGCUUUCUAACCCGCACCACUUAUC
This 674-nucleotide ribosomal RNA is filed under the name Staphylococcus aureus. RNAcentral describes it as "partial 23S ribosomal RNA". It matches the Rfam family "Bacterial large subunit ribosomal RNA", at positions 1566 to 2240 of the family's 2925-position model. Lineage: Bacteria; Bacillati; Bacillota; Bacilli; Caryophanales; Staphylococcaceae. The record is from RNAcentral.